GUACACGAGCGGCGAACGGGUGAGUAACACGUGGGUGAUCUGCCUUGCACUUCGGGAUAAGCCUGGGAAACUGGGUCUAAUACCGGAUAUGACCCCGGAAUGCAUGUUCUGGGGUGGAAAGAUUUAUCGGUGCGAGAUGGGCCCGCGGCCUAUCAGCUUGUUGGUGAGGUAACGGCUCACCAAGGCGACGACGGGUAGCCGACCUGAGAGGGUGACCGGCCACACUGGGACUGAGACACGGCCCAGACUCCUACGGGAGGCAGCAGUGGGGAAUAUUGCACAAUGGGCGCAAGCCUGAUGCAGCGACGCCGCGUGCGGGAUGACGGCCUUCGGGUUGUAAACCGCUUUUGACAGGGACGAAGCGCAAGUGACUGUACCUGUAGAAUAAGGACCGGCCAACUACGUGCCAGCAGCCGCGGUAAUACGUAGGGUCCGAGCGUUGUCCGGAAUUACUGGGCGUAAAGAGCUUGUAGGCGGUUCGUCGCGUCGUUUGUGAAAACUUGGGGCUCAACCUUAAGCUUGCAGGCGAUACGGGCGGACUAGAGUACUUCAGGGGAGACUGGAAUUCCUGGUGUAGCGGUG
RNAcentral lists this ribosomal RNA (582 nucleotides) under Nocardia sp. CD5. RNAcentral describes it as "bacterial SSU rRNA". It matches the Rfam family "Bacterial small subunit ribosomal RNA", at positions 87 to 683 of the family's 1533-position model. The record is from RNAcentral. Lineage: Bacteria; Bacillati; Actinomycetota; Actinomycetes; Mycobacteriales; Nocardiaceae.